This is a non-coding RNA of Pogona vitticeps (central bearded dragon), 417 nucleotides long. NCBI's taxonomy places the organism in Eukaryota, Metazoa, Chordata, Lepidosauria, Squamata, Agamidae. The record is from RefSeq and is a predicted model, not a curated record.
GAAGGCGACUCAGGAGUCCAAGCUAAUAAGGCACUUGUGUUCAACAGCCCUUGUGUCCUGACGUUUUAAAGGGACAGAUCCUUGUCCAGCCCAGAAAUUCAACUUCUGCAAACCCCGAUCGUUUCGAAACCUAAAGAUCCAGCUCUUUCCAGCAUCUGCCGGCGCUUUGUUCUUGGUAUUUAGGCGUAGUCUGAGCAAUACAACUUCGCGGACAGCGUCCUUAGCGAGCCCGAUUCUCUUCCAGCAUGGACCUUCCAGGCUGCGCCUCUCGCGCCCUCCUGUGAGGUCGCCCCUUGGGCCCCGCUGCAAAGGAAGAAGAGCGGCGGGGGGCACCAAAGAGCUUCGCGCCUGUCAGCAGCGCCCACCUAGCCAAGUCGAGCUGUCUGCUCACUGUUCGCCCACCCGUCGAAGACGUCG